GAUAAACGCUGGCGGCGUGCAUGAGACAUGCAAGUCGAACGGACGAUCGAGGCUUGCUUCGAUCGUUAGUGGCGGACGGCUGAGUAACGCGUAGGUGACCUGCCCCGAAGUGGGGAAGUAACUGCCCGAAAGGGUAGGCUAAUACCGCAUGUGGUGGUGUGUUCAAUCACACCAGUAAAGACCGCAAGGCGCUUCGGGAGGGGCCUGCGUCCGAUUAGCUCGUUGGUGGGGUAACGGCUCACCAAGGCGACGAUCGGUAGGUGGUCUGAGAGGACGAUCACCCAGACUGGGACUGAGACACGGCCCAGACUCCUACGGGAGGCAGCAGUCGGGAAUUUUGCGCAAUGGACGAAAGUCUGACGCAGCAACGCCGCGUGAGGGAUGACGGCCUCGG
This 394-nucleotide ribosomal RNA is filed under the name uncultured bacterium. RNAcentral's name for it is "bacterial SSU rRNA". It matches the Rfam family "Bacterial small subunit ribosomal RNA", at positions 28 to 420 of the family's 1533-position model. The record is from RNAcentral.